RNAcentral lists this ribosomal RNA (437 nucleotides) under uncultured bacterium. RNAcentral describes it as "bacterial SSU rRNA". It matches the Rfam family "Bacterial small subunit ribosomal RNA", at positions 339 to 793 of the family's 1533-position model. The record is from RNAcentral.
UUACGGGGGGCAGCAGAGGGGAAUAUUGCACAAUGGGGGAAACCCUGAUGCAGCGACGCCGCGUGAGCGAAGAAGUAUUUCGGUAUGUAAAGCUCUAUCAGCAGGGAAGAAAAUGACGGUACCUGACUAAGAAGCCCCGGCUAACUACGUGCCAGCAGCCGCGGUAAUACGUAGGGGGCAAGCGUUAUCCGGAUUUACUGGGUGUAAAGGGAGCGUAGACGGCAUGGCAAGCCAGAUGUGAAAGCCCGGGGCUCAACCCCGGGACUGCAUUUGGAACUGUCAGGCUAGAGUGUCGGAGAGGUAAGCGGAAUUCCUAGUGUAGCAGUGAAAUGCGUAGAUAUUAGGAGGAACACCAGUGGCGAAGGCGGCUUACUGGACGAUGACUGACGUUGAGGCUCGAAAGCGUGGGGAGCAAACAGGAUUAGAUACCCCAGUAG